Homo sapiens (human) is the source of this 1155-nucleotide long non-coding RNA. RefSeq lists it as uncharacterized. The transcript is spliced from 2 exons. NCBI's taxonomy places the organism in Eukaryota, Metazoa, Chordata, Mammalia, Primates, Hominidae. The record is from RefSeq and is a predicted model, not a curated record.
GGGCCUGGGAAGGGGGAGGCAUGGCCCUUCCUUUUGUCCGCUUCUGUUCUGUCUGCCCUCCCCUGUGUCCGCCCUCUGCCCUCCAGCUUACCCUCUGGGCUCUGUCGCCUGCUCUGCUCUCCCCCAGGCUCUGCCAGUCACUUAGGCUCCCCUGUGCCCUGCACCCCAGGCAGGGACCACUGGCCCACAGUGCCUCCAAUCACCCAAGCCAAACUAAGAGAAGAGUGGAGACAAUUGGAGACUCUGCCUUUUCAAAGUCUCAUUUUUAAAAAAAAUCCAGACUUGGGGUCCGGGUGCGGUAGUUCAUGCCUGUAAUCCCAGCACUUUGGGAGGCCGAGGCGGGUGGAUCACUUGAGGCCAGGAGUUCGAGACUAGCCUGGCCAACGUGGCAAAAUCCCGUCUCUAUAAAAAAUAUAAAAGCCAGGCGUGGUGGUGCACAUGCCUGUAAUCCCAGUUACUCAGAAGGCUGAGGCAUGAGGAUUGCUUGAACCUGGGAGGCAGAGGAUGCAGUAAGCCAAGAUCAAGCCACUGCACUCCAGCCUGGGCGACAGAGUGAGACUCUGUCCAAAAAAAAAAAAAAUCCAGACGUGGUCAGAGUCCAUGGGCAGUGAAUGAGGACAGUUGAUGGUGUGCAAAAUCGACCCACCUCUUGCUACAUCCCCAAGGCCUCAUCUCACCCGAGUCCCUCGCCAAAGCACAGCGGUUUUGCCGUGUGCCCUGCUGGGAUGGCGCUGCAUGGCACACACACUGUGACCACGCUUUGAGAGCUGUGACUGACAUGCCUCUGUCCUGUUGCGAGGGCCUAUAGUGCCAAGUGCAUGAGCUCUGGGGAGGGCUUCGUGGGUGCAGAGCUGGGCCUGUGGAGGCCCCUCAGACACAACACUGGUGGGGCUCAGAGCUCCAGGGGCACUCGAGGGAAGACAAGAACCGGCUCUGAGAUGCGUGAAUGUGACAGUGCAUGAGUAGAGAUGGAGACCUUGUGGGUCCCAGAACCAGGACUGCAUAUGACUUUCAUAUGUGGGUAUUUUUGCCUUCAUGGGUCCCUUCCUGUUUUAAAAAAAAUGUGUGAUUAUGUUGUCACAAAGAGUUUAUUCCUGUAUAUUGUGUUAAUUUGUGUUCAGAUUUGUAAAGUAAAAUUAAACCAUUUCAGCCAGG